RNAcentral lists this ribosomal RNA (479 nucleotides) under uncultured bacterium. RNAcentral's name for it is "bacterial SSU rRNA". It matches the Rfam family "Bacterial small subunit ribosomal RNA", at positions 8 to 526 of the family's 1533-position model. The record is from RNAcentral.
AGAGUUUGAUCCUGGCUCAGGAUGAACGCUGGCGAGAUGCUUUACACAUGCAAGUCGUACGAGAGUUUUUAACUCAAGUGGCGGACGGGUGAGUAACACGUAAGAAUUUGCCUUUAGGAGGGGGACAACAAUUGGAAACGAUUGCUAAUACCCCAUAUGCUUUCGAGUGAAAUGGAUUUUUCCGCCUAAAGAGAAGCUUGCGGCUGAUUAGCUUGUUGGUAAGGUAAUGGCUUACCAAGGCGACGAUCAGUAUCUGGUUUGAGAGGACGAUCAGACACACUGGAACUGAGACACGGUCCAGACUCCUACGGGAGGCAGCAGUGGGGAAUUUUCCGCAAUGGGCGAAAGCCUGACGGAGCAAUCUCGCGUGAGGGAUGACGGCCUAUGGGUUGUAAACCUCUUUUUUCAGGGAGGAAUAAAAUGACGUGUACCUGAAGAAUAAGCAUCGGCUAACUCCGUGCCAGCAGCCGCGGUAAUAC